This 21-nucleotide small nuclear RNA is filed under the name Arabidopsis thaliana (thale cress). Its description in RNAcentral is "snRNA_12353". Lineage: Eukaryota; Viridiplantae; Streptophyta; Magnoliopsida; Brassicales; Brassicaceae. The record is from RNAcentral.
UCAACAUCCAUCAUCCAUGUC